Molecule: ribosomal RNA, 253 nt
Filed under: uncultured bacterium
Lineage: Bacteria
Description: partial 16S ribosomal RNA
Rfam family: Bacterial small subunit ribosomal RNA
Source: RNAcentral
UACGCAGGACCCGAGCGUUAUCCGGAUUUAUUGGGUUUAAAGGGUGCGUAGGCGGAUUAUUAAGUCAGUGGUGAAAGCCUUCAGCUUAACUGAAGAACUGCCAUUGAUACUGAUGAUCUUGAGUAUGAUUGAGGUGGGCGGAAUGUGUCAUGUAGCGGUGAAAUGCUUAGAUAUGACACAGAACACCGAUUGCGAAGGCAGCUCACUAAGCCAUAACUGACGCUGAUGCACGAAAGCGUGGGGAGCAAACAGG